Molecule: long non-coding RNA, 1796 nt
Organism: Acinonyx jubatus (cheetah)
Lineage: Eukaryota; Metazoa; Chordata; Mammalia; Carnivora; Felidae
Exons: 4
Source: RefSeq, a predicted model, not a curated record
GUCACCGGACUGGUGCAUAGCGCCGCAAAGCCUAGUGGCGGGCCUCACGCCUGACGCCCGUUCCCAACCGGACGAGCCCCGGGCCAGGCCUUCCCCUAGUCGGCUACCGGCGUAGGACCGGGGAGAACGUCACCUGAGGGCUGUUGCUGCCGUCCCCCGCCCGCACCCCCGGCGCCGGGAUGUUCGUUCCAGCACCGGUCUCCAAAGCGGCACCGGCCUUGAAGGAAGAAUUGACAAAUGGUCAUAGCGACGGCGUCGCCCACGGAACGGUCUUCAGGCGGCACCCUCAGCGGAAGGAGAGCCCAAUGCAACCACAGGUCCCACCCCCGCUACCGUGAUGUCAUCUUCUCGCGCCCCUUUCUCUCUUGUCCCGCCCUGGGAUGAGAGGCGUGGGUUUUACCCAAUAGGGUUUGAGAAGAACGGGGCGGCCCCCACUCACUGAGCUUGUCUUGGGAAAGCGGAAUGUUUGGAUGGUUAAUGUGGAGAAAGAGGCGUGUUUGCGCGUGGUACUAGGCCUCCGACUUUAAGGGAGGCUUGAGGGUCGGACAUGAGAAGAAAGCAGGUUAAGGAAACAGAUCUUCAGCAAGGCCCUGGAGGACAGGAGUACUUGUAGUUUGAGAGACCGAGUCGUACUUUUCAUUUCUGCUGUCGAGGAAGCAAAAAUCUGCCCAGCCAUUCAUCAGGUAGAAGAAUGUGAGCCGUCACUGGGGAGGAACACAUUGGAUGCUUCAUCUGUACUGACUUCUCAAGGUGCUAGCCAUCCCAAACAACAAUGAAGCAAGAAACAAACUCUACCUUUGAUAAUACUAGAAGAUCUAUAUAACCCUGAAACUCAUCAGGUCUUCCAGGUCCAACCUGUCAACUUGUAGACUAAUAUAAUACGCUGGGCCAUGAAGAAGACUGGACAAAAAUGGCCCAGUGCUAAUCUUUUAUCUGGAGAACAAAAGUAACUCAAAGCAUAUGAUCCUACAGUACUUCUAUUAGUUUGCUACUGCUGAUUUAACAAAUUAAAUAAAAUACAGAGAAGGAUGUGGGACUGAAAACAGGGAAUAAUUGAAUGACUGCAUUUCUAAGUGUUAGUCCUGCAAAUGCCUGCACCCAGCUUACACCUCCGGCAGUUUAAUCUGACAGUUAUGGAGGUUGAAUCCAAAAUAGGUCACAAUGGGUCAAAAUCCAUGUGUCAGCGGGGAUGCCUGAAGGUUCUAGAGGAGAAAGCAUCUCCUUGCCUUUUUCAGAAUCCAGCAGCCUCCUCCUGCAUUCGUUGGCUUGCGGCCUCUUCUUCCAUCUUCAAAGCCAGCAAUAUCCAGCCAAGUCUUUCUCAAAUUGCAUCACACUGACACUGACUCUUCUGCCUCCCUCUUCCACAUUUAAGGACGCUUGAGAUUACACUGGGCCCACCUGGAUAAUCUCUCCAUCUCAAAGAUCUUUAACCACAUCUGCAAAGUCCUACCGCCAUGUAAGGUAACAUAUUCACAACAGGUUCUGACAAUUAGGAUGUGGAUAUCCUUGGGGGGAAGCACUGUUCUUCCUACCAUGGUACCCAAUAGCUUUAUUUCUACCAAAUGGUCUCUCUCUCAAAGAGCAAGCCUUACAAGCACGCAAGACUUACUUUUCCUAUGAAAAAGACGUUGGAAUACUGUUUAAUGUAAAGAACACAUUCUCUCCUACUAUGAUUCUUUUCCUUGUCAUGUAUCCAAACAUGAAACAUAAGAAAUCAGAAAAGAUAUUUUACUAAGAAAAAACUGAGAAGACAAUUUAGUCACCUGGUCCUCUGCCCUCACAGUCAGAGUGUCCUG